GCUCCACUAGCGUAUAUUAAAGUUGUUGCAGUUAAAAAGCUCGUAGUUGAACUUCUGUGUGGGGCUAGUUGGCUUCGGCCUGGCUAGUUCCAUACAUCCGCUUGCAAGACCUAGAGGGCAUUCACUUGUCGCUAGGAGGAGUAGGCUGUUUACUUUGAAAAAAUUAGAGUGUUUAAGGCAGGCAAUCGCCGCAUAUAUUA
RNAcentral lists this ribosomal RNA (200 nucleotides) under uncultured eukaryote. Its description in RNAcentral is "partial 18S ribosomal RNA". It matches the Rfam family "Eukaryotic small subunit ribosomal RNA", at positions 588 to 802 of the family's 1831-position model. The record is from RNAcentral.